This 7468-nucleotide long non-coding RNA is filed under the name Podarcis lilfordi (Lilford's wall lizard). The record is from RNAcentral. Lineage: Eukaryota; Metazoa; Chordata; Lepidosauria; Squamata; Lacertidae.
GGAAGGAUGAAUGAAUGUUAUGAAUGAGUGUUGCUUCCAGGACGACAUGAAGUUUGAAAAGAAUAAAUAGCCAACGAGAGGCACCUGCCCCAAUGCUGGUUAAUUGCAAUUUUUAAGCCACAUUUCUUUGUCUCUAGUGUACGGGGAUGACAUGAGUACAAGGAGAGCAGAUCAAUGAUGGUGUCAGAUUUUCUUACUUUCCACGUUGCGUUUGACCUGGAUGGCACGAACGGUAGUCACAACUAACGGGGAAAAUGAAACCGCCUGUCCUGCUUUUAUCACCCUAAUGAGCACAAACAAAAAUAUGUAGAGAAACGCUUUCCCCAAAGUUCUCGAGGUUACUGCUCCAAUCCUUCAGCUGUCCCUGAGCGAGCAGGGACAAAUGUCAAUUGGUACACCACGCAAAGGAUUUGUGGGACAAUUCAAUCUUUACCCUAAAAAAGAAAGAAAGAAAAGAAAUUGUGUGCAAUAACAACAGCUGCAACUAUAAUAGCCUUAGUGACAAUCAUUGGAAAUUAAAGAGAGAAUAGGAACAUAAUACAUAAAACUACAGCAUCUUAAACACUUAACCAUUAAUGAACUCUGUUUUGUGGCUUUUGUAGGCUGGAGUCCACAUCAUUGGAUGGAAGUCUGCAAAAGCUUCUGCAAACAUGGAAUGUUGUCAGUCUUUAAGGCGACCCAAGACCAUUUUGCAUUGGAUAGGGAUGGAGGAGAAUUUCAAUUCACAUCGCAUUUAAAGGUGGGUCUAACUUAUUCACACUUUUGGAAACAAUAUAAGACGAUAUAAGAAACAUAGCAGGGCUUCAAAAUUUGCACAGCUCUGGAUUUUGCAACGCAGUUCUCUGAUCAAGCAAUGUUCUAAGAAAUGUGUAUAGGUGGAAACAACAUACAGGAAAAAUUAGAGGUAAUUGCUUUGCAAAAAUGUGCAUAUUAGGCAAAAAUGCACAAGGACACACUAGUGAAUCUUCGUGAGCAAAAACAAACAAACUUCAAAUGGAUGUAGAAGUGUGGAUAAUUGAAUUUAAGACUGGAAAAAUGACAAAGAGGGAGAAACAGAAAUUGACAGAUUUGCCCAUCCCUGGUGCCUGAUGGAACAAAAACAGCUGCCCCUCUGGAAUAAGGACAUAAUCCCAGUCUGACAAAAGGUCCAUUUUGUCCAGUAUCCUAUUUUAACAAGUGGGCUCCAGACACUUCUGGAAGCCCAUGAUCAAGGAGCUUGAGUUUAGUGUUCUUGCAAACUAUUCCAUCUAAACAUGAUCAGCUUCCUUCUAAACCUACUAUGAACAGUCAUUGCCCUCAACCAGAGCCAAUGUGGUAUUGUACAGAAGAUGCUAAACCAGGAGGACCUGGUUCAAAUGUCCCAUCCUACAGCUCCAUAAGUGACCAUAGGCAAAGCAGUAUUUCUCAGCUAACAAUUCUACCAUCUCAUUCUGUGGCACAUGUAGACGGGGCAUUGGUGUUCUUCAAAAUGUGUCAUCGUCCCGUCCCCCCCAUGUAUGGUCAGGGCAGGUCCAAUACAUUUUGCUGCCUGAGGAAGAAUGCUAACACCUCUCCCUCCUCCAAUUCAAGGUGCGUAGUACUUGAGGAGGGCCAAGUUAAAAUCCCACAAUCACCUCUUAUUGUUGUAUUGUCACUUACGCUAACAAAGAUACCUUUGCUGUCCCUUCUUGACAUCCAAAACAAGCCGUCUGAGGCACUCACUACACUCUGCCUAAUGGUAGGGGCAGCUGUGUCUAGGAUGUCACUCUGCCUUGGUGCAGCCUCCUCCCUGUUCCAGAGUGGGGCAGGCCUGUAUGGAUUAAAAUUGAAUACUGGACGCACAUGCCCAAUUCCAUGUGCCACCUUCAAAACGCUUACCUAAAAUUACAGUUGAAUUGGAUUAAUAAAUGAAUGCAAGAUACUAGAGCUUAAACGGGGCUCUGGAGAUGGUGCAAUCAAACUUCUCGAGAUGUCAGCACAGCACUUAGCAGUAUUUAACAGUUGCAUAAUAUAUGGAAAUUCACUUUUGUGUUCCCAUGCUGGGAGAUAUUUCAUCUGCUGACAUUCUGAUGGCGUCAUGCAGCAAUACAAAGCAGAAGAGCCCUGCCAGGGGGGGAAAGUUGGCAACCUUAGUUUCAGCUUUUCCAAGGCUUGACCCCUACACUUGAAACUGUAGCUUUGCUAAAGGGUCAGAAAAGUCCUUGUCAUCCCCCUUCAUUGCACUGCAACGGCAGCUAUUUAACCAGCUUACACACACCCUAAACUGUGUUAAAUCCAGAUACUUAGAAAAUCCUGGGAAGCGAAUCAUUUCUGUUUCUCUUCCCUAAAAUCCUGUUUGCUAAAACCCAUUUAGUAGAUGAGAGAAUAUUCUUUUCGUUGUGAAUAAGUGCUCAGGUUCAUUCAGUCAUUCCUGUUAACUGCCAAACGCGCCCCCUUUCUCCAGCAUAUAGGAUUUCUAUGAAAGCAUGAUUUAAUUUGCAGUUAAUUAACUCAUCAAAUCAUCAUUCUGAUUAAUCAAUUAAUGCUUUCAGACCCAACCGAGACAUUUGUAAUUUCUUACGAAUAAAGUGGGCCCUUUUUUAAAUUCAUAUGGCAUGGUGAUCAGCCGAAGUGAAUGACAGGCAGUGUAAGUGAUGCUUUGGACUAAAGUACAUGGGAUGCUCCUUCAAUUAAAGUUUGAAAGCACUAAUAGCCAUUGAUUUGAUUCAUUCAUUAACUACAGAUUAAAAUGUUGAGUUUACAAUCAGAACUCAUCCAUUGUGGGGAAAGGGUGAGCAAUACGUUUAGGCAUGAAGCAUUGGGGACAAGAGCCUUGGAAGGGUUGCCGUAAUACUGGAAUGUCUCUAAGCAUGUACAAAGUGCUUUUCCGUCAUUGGUGAGCCUGAAAAUAGGCUCUGGUUUGUUUGUUUUUCAAAAUGUUGAAGUAUUCUGCACAGUGGGGAAUCUGUGGCAAACAGACUUGGUAUUGGGGGGGGGACGUUGGGGCAGUCAUUGUGAUGCCCUCUAGAUGCUGUUGGACUACAACUCCCAUGAGCCACAGCCAGCAUGGACAAUGGUCAGGGAUGAUAGGACUUUUAGUUUAACAGCAACUGGCUGGCAACACAUUUGCUACCCCUGGCAAGGUGUCAAAAGAAAUUCAACUACACUCUUUAACCACAGACAAUUGAGAGACAAACGAAAUGGGUGUGUACAGCACAGGCAGAGAUGCCUCUAGUAUAGCUCUCUUAAUGAUGAUGUGCAUCUAGGCAGCAGCAGCAGCACCACCCCGCCCCAAAUGGUAAAAUGGUUUAGCUCCAGGCACCUCUUCAUGAUCAGAAAUAAGCAUUCCUGGGGGAAGGAACCAUAGCACACAGGGGUGGGACUGAGCGCGCUCACUUCUCCUGCAAAAGUUCCCAGGUUAAUGCUUGGGCAUCAGCAGCUGCAAAGGGGCCAAGGGAUCCCUAAUAUUUGCUGCGGCUCUUGGUCGCAGACAAGCCCCGCGCAAAAACGAGUUUGCAAAAAAGACGAGCUGGUGCCUUCGCAGCGCGCGUAAACUUGGUUGCAGGGUCGCAGGAAACCCCUCACCUUUAACAGCUGUGAAAGGCAAGAGUUUAAACGAGCGUCACUCUCCCUCACAACUCUGCAGGGCAAACUUGCUCCGGUGCCCUCCCUCUCCUUUCUUUUCAGGACGGAUAAAAGAAAGUCCUUCCACUGCGCAGCGGCGCGUUGUUGAACUACGGAACUCGCGCCCGCAGGAGGCAGCGAUGAUGGCCACCAAAUUGGAUGGCUUCAAAAGUGGAUUGGACAAAUUCGUGGAAGGGGGUAAGGCUAUCAAUGGCCGCCAGCCACUAAGGUCAUGCUCGGCUUCCACAGUUGGAGGCAGCAAUGCUCCUGAAUAUCAGUUGCUGGAAAUCACUGGGCUCUUGGGCUCGGGUCUUGCUUGCGGGUUUCCUACAGGCAUCUGGGUGGCCACUGUGAGAACAGGAUGCUGGACUAGAUGGGGCACUGGCCUGAUCCUGCAGGCUUUUUCGAUGCUCUUUUCUCCCUUGCAUCAGGUCACACACACACACACACCUCCACCUCUUCUCCUUAAAGGAUAGUUAUCAUGACAGUUAACAUCCAGGAAAGUCGUCUUAAUCCUCCCAUCAAUGAAAAGCAAAACAAGUAACCGAGCAACAAAAGAUGUUUUUAAUUGUUGACAGCCCCACUUUUUUGCUAAGGAACCCCGGGAGACCCUGCUAUGGAAGGGCAGGCGCAGUUAGGGGCGCGCCCCACCACCACCGCGUGCCAAGGGAGGGGGGUCUCCUUCGAAUCCAACGCCUGCUCUAACGGAUGUCUGUCUUGGAAUUCAGAAAUGCCUGCGCCACACACACACACACACACACACACACACUGUUUUUUGUGUCCUAGACAAAAGAGAAACCCCCUUGUUUCUCUUGCGAAACCAUCCCAGCGUCGAAGGAAAGGGAAAAGGCUCGUGGGGCCGGGGGAGGAUUUGUCUUGCUGUAAAUCACCCAUCCUUGUCUAGGACUGCUAGCGCCUCCGCCCUGCUUAAGCACAUGCGUAACUCUCACCAAAAUAAGUGAGACUUAUUCGUUUUAGUGGAUCGGUGCCAAAAAAAUUUUUUUAAUUGUUUUACACAGAGGCGUUUGAAAACAGCACAAUUUUUUUUUUAGAAAGAGUGAGUGGGUGGGUGUGUCAAAGACGUGGACAUAAAGAAAAUACGAAUUCUUAGUCUCUCUCUUUCUCAUAAACCGUUUAUGCUAUGCAAUCAAAUAACUUGUGCUUUCUUUUUUAAGCGAAUCAAGCUUUAUUGAGUAUAUAUUAUAGAUUAUUUUUUAAAAAAUAAAUAAAUAUAUGGAUGGAUCUGGAUAUCCUGAGCCAGGAUCCCAAAAACGUUGCUCGUGGUCUUUGCUGCGCUUGCCCUUCUUUUUAAAAAAGCAAGCAAAAGGGAAAAAGAAAAGAGCAAUCCCAUUUAUGCAAAGGCGUCCGCUAGCAAAAACUUCCUAAGGGUGUGUGAAAUUGACUAAUCUCUCAUGGCUUAAUAUAAAUAGCAUUUGCUGUCGCCUCUGGUGGCGUUGCAGGAUCCGUGUCUUUCCUCCUCCCUCCCGCUGCCCAGCGAGAGCGCACCGCGGCUCUGCCAGGCGUUAACUUAUUUCUUCCCAAGCGAUGGGCAAUUGUCUUCUGCAGAGAUUUUUCUUCGCUGCUUCUCUCUCCGGCGGAAGAACCAUCUGCAGCUUCCAGCUUUCUGCAAAAAAAUAAAAAAACCCCGAGCGCUCUCUCCGUUUGCGUUCAGGCUGGGAAGCGAUCAACCCAGAACAGGACGUCCCAGUUACAAAUUGAGGGAAGCGGGCGCAAACAAUAUUUUUCUUUUUAAGGAACCAAAAUUCCUGCAGCUCGGUCCAGGUUGAAUAACCUGGUCGGCUUUAGUGGAUUUAAAAGAAAAUAUAUAUACCUUCAGCUGCAGUUAAAACAAGCUAAAACAGGGUUUGCAGCAGGUGAGGUUUUGCAAACUCCCCACCUGGAAAAUCUGCACUGCCCCAACCCCCAAUGUGAUGCCCUCAGUUAGGAAAGAGUUUGGAGACGGCCUCGAAAAGUGCUGCUUAAAAGCCAUCUUUCCCCCCUUCCUUCUUCCAGAAAGGGUGUGUUUGUGUGAGCACGCGCGCAUGUGUAUGCCUAUGUACAGUAUAGUGUGUGUGUGGCCUCAGCAGGAUGAGAGCAGAAAACUUAUCCAGGGAAGCUUAUCUAUCCCCUUGGGACUCUUGGGAGGGCUGCGUGUCCGUGCGUGAUGCUCUCUAGUUGUCCCUUACGGCCGUGGCGCAAAAGGGAAUCGGGAAGGCGCAAGAGCCACUUUUCCACAACAGCCCCACGCAGAGGGAAGUCAAGGCUUGGCGUUGCCGCCGCCCUUUCCUGGGCGCAAAAGUCCAGAGACCGGCUGGGGUGUGUGGCGCGCCUGAGCGCAGUUGGCGAGGUGUCGUGGGCAACUGGCGAAUACCUGCCUUUGCUCUGCAAACCGUUUUCAUUGGCCAGCCCUUGAUCUGGGGCUCUUCUGACUUGGCCCCCAUUGCACUGAUUUACUGGGCGCUUUAGUUCAAGAAGGAGCGCCUCUGGCCAAUUGUAGCCUGUGGCCAGUUUUAGCUUCUCCUGUGUGUGGUGUUUGUGUUAAGGCGCUUGGUGUUUCAAGUACAGGCACGCACGCACCUCGCAACAGCUCCUUCCAGACAGCGACUAGGAUGACAGGGAAAAUAAUCUGAGAUGGGAUCUGAUACAAAGGAAAAAAUGAGUUUCUUUUAAGCAUCGCUUCCUUUUUUUUAAAGAAAGCGGGGAAUGGCAGUAAUCCAGAGAGGCAAGACAGUCAUUGAAUCCAAGCAACAUUCCCAAUUAAAAUAAAUAAAUAAAUGAGAUACAUAAAAUCGAACUUUUCCUCUCCUUGCAGGACUUGCUGAGCCCGUUUGCAAAACCUAAAGGAGUUAAAACAACAACAAUUAUUUUGCAAAGACCAGCAGAAGGUGGGAAAGGGGGUUGUUAAAGAAUUGCUCAGACUCUCCAGAUCAAUGGCUUGUGGGGGUCAUUUCCGACGUGGAAGUCUUUUGAGACUUGCCCCGCCCCCCUACACCUCUCCACAUGCUGAUUGCAAACGGUUUUUAAAAGUUCCAAGCUCUGGAUUUCUGGGCUGUUAAAAACUAAAACCCUAAAAACUGUCGGAGUUAUAACCACCACCGCUUUAGAGGCUCGGCAGACAAAACAUCUGGUUCGUUAGGGCAAAGUUGCUGGAAAACAGAAAAGAAAACUUUGCUGCCGUGCAAAUUCGCUUACCAAAACAAUUUACAUUCGAGAAAAGGUUCUUAGCCAAAAUGAACAAACGUAGUAUCCUUUUUCUUUUUAAUUUGUAUCCGAGGGCUCUGGGAACCCACAAGUAAUUUCCAACAGAAAAUACGUUGUUAUUGUUGCUGUUUCAUAGCACUUGGGGCAAUUUCCCCCAGAGCUCCGCCUCCCACAUUUCAGGAUUAAUGAUUACUUUUCCAACUAUUUCCCCUCCCCACCAAUAUUUCCACCACCCUUCAAAAAAAAGAAGAAAAAAAAGAACUGAAGGAUGUCAUUGGGAAGGAGUGAAGAAGGAGUUAUGGGAGGCUGUGUGUUUUUUUCCAAGCCUACAAAAACCUCAGACCCCUCAUAUUUAUGUACAUUCAUUUCUCCCUUCCUUACUGUUCGUCAAGGAAGGGAGGGGGGGAACACACCCAAUAUUUUCUUUUCCUUCCCUUGGGAGAAAUUAAAAUUAAACUUGCAAUUAAAAUCGGGGGAGGGGGUGGAACUAGUUGUUGCUUCACCUUAGAACAAAAGAAAAUGUUGGCACAGGAGGGGGGAAAUUAUUACCAAGUUACUUGUUUUAAUAGACAGGCAAGAUAUAUUUAUGCUACAAACACACACACGUCCCUGGACCUUGCCAAUUUCAUUCUGCCUUGCCUGUUUACACUUACACACACUUACACACACACACACACACACACAC